RNAcentral lists this ribosomal RNA (916 nucleotides) under uncultured archaeon. Its description in RNAcentral is "bacterial SSU rRNA". It matches the Rfam family "Archaeal small subunit ribosomal RNA", at positions 1 to 922 of the family's 1478-position model. The record is from RNAcentral.
UUCCGGUUGAUCCUGCCGGAGGCUACCGCUAUUGGAGUUCGAUUAAGCCAUGCGAGUAGAAAGAAUUUAGAUUCUUUGCGUACCGCUCAGUAACACGUGGGUAACCUGCCCUAUGCUGGGGAAUAACCUCGGGAAACUGAGAAUAAUGCCCCAUAGCCCACUACGCCUGGAACGGUGAGUGGGUCAAAGCUUCGGCGGCAUAGGAUGGGCCUGCGCCGUAUCAGGUUGUAGGGGGUGUAAAGUACCCUCUAGCCAUCAACGCGUACGGGUGUUGGGAGACAUUGCCCGGAGAUGGAUUCUGAGACACGAAUCCAGACCCUACGGGGUGCAGCAGGCGCGAAAACUUGGCAAUGCGAGCAAUCGUGACCAGGGAACUCCAAGUGCUUAGGGUAAGACCUAAGCUUUUCUUGACUCUUCAAAGGUCUUGGAAUAAGGGGUGGGUAAGGACGGUGCCAGCCGCCGCGGUAAUACCGGCGCCUCAAGUGGUAGUCGCUUUUAUUGGGCCUAAAACGUCCGUAGCCGGUCUGGUGCAUUCGUGGGUAAAUCAACCCGCUCAACGGGUUGAAUUCUGCGAGCACGGCCAGACUUGGGACCGGGAGAGGUGUGGGGUACUCUCAGGGUAGGGGUAAAAUCCUGUCAUCCGGAGAGGACCACCUGUUGCGAAGGCGCCACACUAGAACGGAUCCGACGGUCAGGGACGAAACCUAGGGGCACGAACCGGAUUAGAUACCCGGGUAGUCCUAGGUGUAAACGCUGUGGACUUGAUGUUGGGGGCGCUCCGAGCGCUUUCAGUGUCGAAGCGAAGGUGAUAAGUCCACUGCCUGGGGAGUACGGUCGCAAGGCUGAAACUUAAAGGAAUUGGCGGGGGAGCACUGCAACCUGAGGAUUGUGCGGUUUAAUUGGAUUCAACGCCGGA